Molecule: transfer RNA, 75 nt
Filed under: Oscillatoriaceae cyanobacterium M33_DOE_052
Lineage: Bacteria; Bacillati; Cyanobacteriota; Cyanophyceae; Oscillatoriales; Oscillatoriaceae
Description: tRNA-Leu
Rfam family: tRNA
About the family: Transfer RNA (tRNA) molecules are approximately 80 nucleotides in length. Their secondary structure includes four short double-helical elements and three loops (D, anti-codon, and T loops).
Source: RNAcentral
UACAUACUCGCCGAAUGGUACAGGCGCUUGAUUUAGGCUCAAGUUACUGCAGGUUCAAAUCCUGCGUAUGAACCA